UCUUUCCCACUGGUGACGAGGUAA
This 24-nucleotide non-coding RNA is filed under the name Arabidopsis thaliana (thale cress). Lineage: Eukaryota; Viridiplantae; Streptophyta; Magnoliopsida; Brassicales; Brassicaceae. The record is from RNAcentral.